Molecule: ribosomal RNA, 452 nt
Filed under: Clostridioides difficile
Lineage: Bacteria; Bacillati; Bacillota; Clostridia; Peptostreptococcales; Peptostreptococcaceae
Description: bacterial SSU rRNA
Rfam family: Bacterial small subunit ribosomal RNA
Source: RNAcentral
UUAUUUGAGAGUUUGAUCCUGGCUCAGGAUGAACGCUGGCGGCGUGCCUAACACAUGCAAGUUGAGCGAUUUACUUCGGUAAAGAGCGGCGGACGGGUGAGUAACGCGUGGGUAACCUACCCUGUACACACGGAUAACAUACCGAAAGGUAUGCUAAUACGGGAUAACAUAUUUGAGAGGCAUCUCUUAAAUAUCAAAGGUGAGCCAGUACAGGAUGGACCCGCGUCUGAUUAGCUAGUUGGUAAGGUAACGGCUUACCAAGGCGACGAUCAGUAGCCGACCUGAGAGGGUGAUCGGCCACAUUGGAACUGAGACACGGUCCAAACUCCUACGGGAGGCAGCAGUGGGGAAUAUUGCACAAUGGGCGAAAGCCUGAUGCAGCAACGCCGCGUGAGUGAUGAAGGCCUUCGGGUCGUAAAACUCUGUCCUCAAGGAAGAUAAUGACGGUACUU